Molecule: long non-coding RNA, 412 nt
Organism: Gorilla gorilla gorilla (western lowland gorilla)
Lineage: Eukaryota; Metazoa; Chordata; Mammalia; Primates; Hominidae
Exons: 2
Source: RefSeq, a predicted model, not a curated record
CCUGGAUAUGCCUGCUCAUGUCCUCCCACGCCACUGUCUUCUGUGUACACAAGAACCCAUGGCAGCACUUCUUCCCCUCUCCUGCCGCCUCCUUCACAGGCCCCAUUUCAGGCAUAAUACAAAGGAACAGGGCUUCCUGCUUGAAGGUGCUGAUCCAGGGAUCAAAAGGACUGAUGACGUUGCUGUCCUCAAGGAGCUGACACUGCAGCGUUAGUGGACAAAUUCAGAAGACAAAUUCCGAUCAGUGUUCCCUCUUCCAGCACACAUUCACUGAGGUCCUACUGCAUGCUCCAGACAUGGAAGCACGGCAGGGAGUGAAGCAGGCAGAGGUCUCCAUUCUUAUGGGAUGAUAGUCUAGCGGGGGAGACAGAGAAAACAAAAGUAAAACAUAAACAAAGCUAAUUAACCAGAA